UACUGAUGAAGUGUAAUUAGUGCUGACUCACAGUAGUACAUACAGCCUGUGAAUUUCAGGCAGGAUAUAAGGUGAGAAUGAAGCCUUUGCAAGUAUGGGAAUUUGGGAAGUGUGAGAGAAGACAUUGUGUGAAGCCCAGGAAUGGAGACCAGUCUGCAGCUGCAGCACAGCCCUCACUGACCCAGCCAUCCCCUAACCCGUGUCUGGUGCUUGGCAGCCAGCGUGGGAAGUAAGGAACUCAUGGCAAGCAUUAAGGACCGGAUGGUGGAAAGCAUCCAGGGACUCCAGUCCACGUUCUUUUAUUUGUCCCUUUUGUACUGCUUGCCAGUUUGGGAGGCCGUCACACACGUCCCCAAUUUAUUGAAGGAUGGAGACACUUAAUUUGAGCCAUUAUGUGAAGAGAAAUCCACGCUGUCUGGGGAAACAAUAUUUCUGUAGGCUUAUGGUGUUGAAAAGGAGUGCCUGUUGGAGAACAGCUUAGCAGAGAUGCUUGAACAUAAUGGCCAGAGUCACUCCUGCAGGACUGGCAGUAGUUCAGGAGGAAUCACCCUACAGCAGCAAUAUCAGACCAAGCCUAUUGCAUAGUCACAAAACCAGCAAGUUCACAGUAAUAUCAAAGAUUAGUUGCAUAAACUGAAAAGAAUGCAUUGCAAACACUUUUGUAGAGCUGUCUCUAUAAAAGAGUACAAACAAACACACACAAUGCUGCAGAUGCUCCUAUGCUGCUAUGCACAAACUUGUGACUCAGAGCAGGAAAGGCAAGAAGCUGCUCUGACAAAAAUUAAAACCUUGGAUGAAAAUAUGGCCACUACUGUCUCAAGAUUAUUUUAAACCUGUGGCAAACAUCUCUGUGGCACCAAAAUCACAGUUUCCAUGCUUGUGAAUUACACUGAUCUAUUUAUCAGAAGAGCAGUAUAAAAACAAAGGGAAAAUAUUAGGAAUUAAUUCUGGUUUUCAGUCUUGCAUGAAAGGUGGUAGCCCUUCUGUCUGAACAGAUCUUUAAGCGUGUGAUGGAAGAGUAUUUUUGUAAGUAUAGCUUUAAUAACUGUGCCUUGAGGGUUUAAAAGAAUACUCUGUAAACAAGAAGUAGAGAAACAGUAGAAUGGUGUCUGAAAAACAUCCCUCAGCCACUCCAGAAAGUGACUGCUGAAGCAGUUAAUAAUGUUCCAUUCAGGAUGGAGGAAAUGCACUUCCCAUUCUCUUCAUAGUUUUUAAGUUUCUUAGCUUUGUGCACCUGGACCAUCUAGUGAAAAUCUUUUAUUGGAUUUUCUUUGACCAAACCACUUUGCUAAGAGCUGCAGUUAUCAUUCAAGCUAUAAUCCAGUCCUAGACAAAAACACUUACUGCUUGUCUCCUGAAACAACAUUUCUGCAGGUUUCUGUGCCAGAUAAUGCAGGGCGAUGAGUAUCUAGCAGGCGUUGUAUCCACACCCUCCCUGUCCUCCAGCCGUUCCAAGAAGCUCUUGGGGGGACAUUGCCUCCUUCUGCUUGGGCUGCCAACGUGCCACAGUGGCUCUGAAUCUAGCUCUGCUGCCUGCCCUGGGUGUCUGCUUGGAGCCAGUAGGAGCACAAUAGUAUUUCCACCUGCGGAAUGUACCUGUGUAGUGGGAUUUUACACUGCCCUGGUGUCCUUCCUAAAGAAGAUGACAAUGGACCUCUGAAAGUCCAGCGAUUUGGACAUCAAGGUCCUUCCAGAAGACAACACCAGGUCCUGUUUUUCCACACUUCUGACAUCAUGGAGAUGACACACUUUACAUGGGUGAAGUGAGAAGCAUUUCUUAGGAGUGUCUUCUGAUUUCUUUUCCUCUUACAGACUGCUUGUAUUUUGCCAGAUGUAAUAAAUAAAUACAUCAGGCUUCUCUGAGUUGCUUUGGCACAUGCCCUCACAAGAAGACUGGGGCUCACAGGGAAGACACGGUACCUCCCAUUCCCCACCUGCACCACACCAGGAGGUGCCUGUGGUCAACUGGCGUCCCCACUGACACCACCUCUUUGAAAGCCCACAUUUUGAAGAGGAAAGAUGAUGUGGUGCUUUUCUGUCUCUGCAACAGGGCACUCGUGACCUUCAUCAACUACCUUUUCCAAAGUGCUUUUAUUUACAUAUUAUAGCAUCAAUAGAAAAAUACAAUUAAAAUAUUACCAAGUUAAUCCCUUUCUAGUUAGCUUGUGAGCCUUAUGGGACAGAGAAAGAUGUUCUGUUCUUCUCCAAAACCAUGAACUGGUAAAGUCAGUUAACAGUAUAUCCCAAUCUCUCUUUUAACUUAUAUUGUAUUAUUUCCACUUUGUAAUUAUUCAAGCACUUCCUUCUGAUAAACAUAUUUCACUACAUAAA
Non-coding RNA from Anas platyrhynchos (mallard), 2331 nucleotides. The record is from RefSeq and is a predicted model, not a curated record. NCBI's taxonomy places the organism in Eukaryota, Metazoa, Chordata, Aves, Anseriformes, Anatidae.